AUUUUUUAUAAUAAAUGGUGUUAAUAUAAGAAUGAUUAAUAAUAGUAAAACCAGUAAUUAAUAUGAACAGAGAAAUAUGUAAUUGCAAAAGUAACUUUAAGAUUUUUUUAAUUGUCUUUUAGCUUUUUAUUUAUUCAUUAUUACUUCGUGUAAAUAACAAUAUUUAAUAGCAAUUUAUUUAUUUAUUUAUUCUCUCUUUUUCUUUCUCCUAGCUACAUCUCUCAUAUAAGAACAUAUACAGAUUACAUCUCAUAAGAAAGUCUCGAAAGUUGCGAAAGAAAGGUUUAUAUUGUAAUAAGACAGGAUGGAUGAUAAGAAAGUCUCGCAUCUUUGAAGAUUUAAUUGGCAAAGAAAGUACAACGUGCUCUUGGCGACAACCCAACAAUUCUGCCUAAUUCAUGGCCCGCUUCAUAUUGCUCAUAAACAAAAGUAAAUUAUUGAGGGGAAGAUAUCACGCAUCACUUUCUGCACUCGCUUGCAUAAAACCACUUAUCACAAUAUAAGAAGCUGAUAACAGCGUCUGUCCCGCGUACAUAUAUGAAGAUAACUCAAGUUGCGUAAGAGCAUGCAGGAGUAGGUCGUGUACUCAUUUCACUCGAAGAGUGCAGUAUGCCAGUAACGACACACGACGUGCGCGAAACCAGAAACAUUUUCGGAUAGUAACGUCCACCGUUACGUGUUUUAGCUCGGUAUUCGUUGCAUUCGUAAUUAAGCAACCAAUUAAAACGAUACGAGUGCGUGACUAAUUGAGGAGCCGAUAACGACUCGAGCGAAUCGCGAACGUGGAAAGAGGAGAGGUGUGUUCCUGACGAGUACCGCGGCGGACGACGGAACGUCGCGGCGUCAUUGCAAAGCACCCGGGAGUACCUAAUGAAUUUCAUUAACGACGACGAUGAUUAAACUGUUUCAGAUCUAUUUCAUACCUUCGAUGGGGAGUGCGAAAGCAAUCGCGGCCACAACCAAAAGGGCGAACACGUAGAUCUUCAU
Molecule: long non-coding RNA, 987 nt
Organism: Monomorium pharaonis (pharaoh ant)
Lineage: Eukaryota; Metazoa; Arthropoda; Insecta; Hymenoptera; Formicidae
Exons: 3
Source: RefSeq, a predicted model, not a curated record